AGAGUUUGAUCCUGGCUCAGAACGAACGCUGGCGGCGUGGAUAAGACAUGCAAGUCGAACGAGAGAAUUGCUAGCUUGCUAAUAAUUCUCUAGUGGCGCACGGGUGAGUAACACGUGAGUAACCUGCCCCCGAGAGCGGGAUAGCCCUGGGAAACUGGGAUUAAUACCGCAUAGUAUCGAAAGAUUAAAGCAGCAAUGCGCUUGGGGAUGGGCUCGCGGCCUAUUAGUUAGUUGGUGAGGUAACGGCUCACCAAGGCGAUGACGGGUAGCCGGUCUGAGAGGAUGUCCGGCCACACUGGAACUGAGACACGGUCCAGACACCUACGGGUGGCAGCAGUCGAGAAUCAUUCACAAUGGGGGAAACCCUGAUGGUGCGACGCCGCGUGGGGGAAUGAAGGUCUUCGGAUUGUAAACCCCUGUCAUGUGGGAGCAAAUUAAAAAGAUAGUACCACAAGAGGAAGAGACGGCUAACUCUGUGCCAGCAGCCGCGGUAAUACAGAGGUAUCAAGCGUUGUUCGGAAUCACUGGGCGUAAAGCGUGCGUAGGCUGUUUCGUAAGUCGUGUGUGAAAGGCGCGGGCUCAACCCGCGGCCGGCACAUGAUACUGCGAUACUAGAGUAAUGGAGGGGGAACCGGGAAUUCUCGGUGUAGCAGUGAAAUGAGUAGAUAUCGAGAGGAACACUCGUGGCGAAGGCGGGUUCCUGGACACUAACGGACGCUGAGGCACGAAGGCCAGGGGAGCGAACGGGAUUAGAUACCCUUGUAGUCCUGGCAGUAAACGGUGCACGCUUGGUGUGCGGGGAAUCGACCCCCUGCGUGCCGGAGCUAACGCGUUAAGCGUGCCGCCUGGGGAGUACGGUCGCAAGAUUAAAACUCAAAGAAAUUGACGGGGACCCGCACAAGCGGUGGAGUAUGUGGCUUAAUUCGAUGCAACGCGAAGAACCUUACCUGGGCUUGACAUGUAAUGAACAACAUGUGAAAGCAUGCGACUCUUCGGAGGCGUUACACAGGUGCUGCAUGGCCGUCGUCAGCUCGUGUCGUGAGAUGUUUGGUUAAGUCCAGCAACGAGCGCAACCCCUGUUGCCAGUUACCAGCACGUGAAGGUGGGGACUCUGGCGAGACUGCCCAGAUCAACUGGGAGGGAGGUGGGGACGACGUCAGGUCAGUAUGGCCCUUAUGCCCAGGGCUGCACACGUACUACAAUGCCCAGUACAGAGGGGGCCGAAGCCGCGAGGCGGAGGAAAUCCUAAAAACUGGGCCCAGUUCGGACUGUAGGCUGCAACCCGCCUACACGAAGCCGGAAUCGCUAGUAAUGGCGCAUCAGCUACGGCGCCGUGAAUACGUUCCCGGGUCUUGCACUCACCGCCCGUCA
This 1371-nucleotide ribosomal RNA is filed under the name uncultured bacterium. Its description in RNAcentral is "bacterial SSU rRNA". It matches the Rfam family "Bacterial small subunit ribosomal RNA". The record is from RNAcentral.